Carassius auratus (goldfish) is the source of this 1774-nucleotide long non-coding RNA. Lineage: Eukaryota; Metazoa; Chordata; Actinopteri; Cypriniformes; Cyprinidae. The record is from Ensembl.
CCGAUUUUUCCCGGAAAAACACGACCGGCUGGAGGCGUGACGUGUGGGCGGAGCUAAAGAAUCACGAGCACCAGUAGGCUUUUGCGUUGAGAGGGUUUGGAAGCUUCGACAUUACCGUGAGGAAAAAACCAUCCAAAACAAACCGUGGCUAACAGUCAGAUUCAGCGAUCAUAUCAUACAUAUCAUAUAUUUCAACAGGGCAUCUUGCUUUAUUAAUAUUUAUUAUAAAUGCCUUAAAUAAGAACUUAACAUAAGGGCAGAUCUCUUUAGCGCACGUGAUGCUUGGGUGGUCAAGAAUUUUCCAGUGUUCAUCCUUUGCUUCCUCUGUCCUCAUUUCCUUUCCUUGCAUCCUUCCCUCGUAUCCUAAGGGGGUGGAGCUAAGACGCAAGAAGAAAGGAAACGAGGACCCACAAAUAAGAAAUAAGAAGCACUCCAGGAAUGAAAGCAGUUUUAGAGCAAAUCUGGGGAGUCGCAGUACGACAGCGUCGUGGAUCAGGUCUUUGAUGAGGUGGCCGAUGAUGGCGUUAGAGCGUCAACACUAUGAUGAUGGAGGCGAGGAUGAUGUAGAAGACGUGAAUGGGCAGAUGGAUGGCGUCUCGAGCAGGUGGGAUGUAAUUCUUGAAGAACACCUCCUCCUCACCAGAUGGGGGCAGCAGAGGAGGCUCACUCCCGGCCAUCACACUCUUAUCCAGAACACAUCCUCACGUUAACACCAAUACAAGAACAACUGACCCUAACCUGACCCUGCUCUUCAAUGAUCAAUGAGCUGAUCACAGAACAGAUUGGUUGAUUUCUCAUAAUAUCUCAAUAGUUUCCUUACACACAGUAUUUCAGUGAGCUCACAUUAUAAUGAACUUUUAUCAUGUCAAUUAUAGACUUGUAAGCUAAUACAUACGUCCAGGUGAGAGUUUGUUCACAGGCCGUGAUGAAGGUCAGAUGUCAUCCGUCCAGCGGAAUCACAGUGUUAUAUGAUCACAUUGUCGCCUUCCUCUGAAGCUCCAGCAGUGAAUGAAGAAUAAAAGAUGGAGGUGUUGAUGUACGCAUGUGAGCCGCUGUGAUUGGCUGAGACGCUCAAGGUCACAGGCUUUAUCAGCAGAUAUUAUCCAGCUUUAGCACGGCUUACAGACUGGUUAUGGUUAGGGUUAAUCAUAAACUGAGUGGGAGAAAAGGUACACAGAAUUUAACUUUAUUAAUAAUAAACCUCAUGAGUUAUAUUCUAGCAUUGUAAAACCUAAUAAAAUGGUCUAAUAACAGCAGCUCAAUUAAAACAGUACACAAUAAAAAAUAGUUAAUUGUCACCAUGAUUUAGCAUGAUGCAUUUCUUUCUUCUGAUUUUUAAGCUCUGGACAGCUUCAUGAGAUUCUGCUGCGGUGUUUUAGAGCAGAACAUCUCACAUGUUUCUGUCCUCAUUGACUCAGACAGGCUUUAGAAUAAUCUCGUAGCUCAUGAAGAUGAAUCAGACACAAGAAUCUGUUGGUUCCAUAAUGAGGAGAGGCUUUAUUUCUAUUUUUCAUUUGCAUCAUCUAUGCCUUCUUGUUUAUUUAUAUACAGUGCCAAAAUAUGAACUAUCCCAGAAUUUAUUUUAUUGGCAUCACAGAACACAGUGGUUACGUUGAUGACAUCACAGCGAUCACAUGACCACGCCCUCUUUUCAUGCUGAAAGACUGUUAUCUGCACUUUGCUUCUCUACAGCAGCUAAAAGAGCAUCUGGUCUGAUAAAAACAUGCUAAAGACAAAUUGAAAACAUAAAAGCCAGAGUAAUGACAGCUGGCAC